CCUACGGGAUGCACCAGUGGGGAAUAUUGCACAAUGGGCGCAAGCCUGAUGCAGCCAUGCCGCGUGUAUGAAGAAGGCCUUCGGGUUGUAAAGUACUUUCAGCGGGGAGGAAGGUGUUGUGGUUAAUAACCACAGCAAUUGACGUUACCCGCAGAAGAAGCACCGGCUAACUCCGUGCCAGCAGCCGCGGUAAUACGGAGGGUGCAAGCGUUAAUCGGGAUUACUGGGCGUAAAGCGCACGCAGGCGGUCUGUCAAGUCGUAUGUGAAAUCCCCGGGCUCAACCUGGGAACUGCAUUCGAAACUGGCAGGCUAGAGUCAUGUAGAGGGGGGUAGAAUUCCAGGUGUAGCGGUGAAAUGCGUAGAGAUCUGGAGGAAUACUGGUGGUGAAGGCGGCCCCCUGGACAAAGACUGACGCUCAGGUGCGAAAGCGUGGGGAGCAAACAGGAUUAGAUACCCGAGUAGUC
RNAcentral lists this ribosomal RNA (465 nucleotides) under uncultured bacterium. Its description in RNAcentral is "bacterial SSU rRNA". It matches the Rfam family "Bacterial small subunit ribosomal RNA", at positions 338 to 795 of the family's 1533-position model. The record is from RNAcentral.